Long non-coding RNA from Micropterus dolomieu (smallmouth bass), 1338 nucleotides. RefSeq lists it as uncharacterized. The transcript has 2 exons. The record is from RefSeq and is a predicted model, not a curated record. NCBI's taxonomy places the organism in Eukaryota, Metazoa, Chordata, Actinopteri, Centrarchiformes, Centrarchidae.
CGAGCCCUAUAGGUUUGUUUUCAUUUAAAACCCGUUCCCCAUUCAUUCUUUUUGUUACUUAUUUGAAGAGGCAUUUGUUGACUAUUAAAGAUGCAUUAUUUCCAUUAAAAUCAGGAAGGAGGCAAUACUCUUUCACAGCACUGCGUUACAAUAUUGCCACCGAGACGAAAGUCUCUUCCUGUUAAAGAACCACCUGCUGUCUGUGACUGGAAAGGUUUAAUGAUUGACAGUGAAAACACAGCUCAACAAGUGGAACCUACUUUUAAAAAUUAUUAACCCUUUUAGAAACUGACUGAAUAUAAUAACUUGUUCCGAAGUUUGCAGGUCCUGACCAAAAAGGCUGAACCUUCACGUUCCCUGAGUAACGCCAUAAUCUCCAUUUGGCUGAAGGCCCAGCUAAUAACAAAUAACCUAAAUAACAGGAAGAGUGGUGCAGGUCUGCAGCCUCCAAAGGACUUUAAAACGGCUGAUAAUUGAAUGGAGUUCGGCGUGAGAGCCGAACGAGCCUGACUACAGAGCCUUUGAGACAAGCUAAUCCCGCGACAGCUUUUAAAGCGGCAGCCAAACCCGAUGCGAACCGAACCACACCGGACCGGACCGGACCGGACCGGGUUCGGGGAGCUCCCAGGCCCGAUGAAGGUGAGGAAGAAGAGGUCAGCACUCACGUUCUCGCAGUCGGUUCUUGAAGUUGGGGUCACUCCGUCUUUUCCUGUCGAAAUAGAUGCAGUAACCGACGAGCAGAGCCCCGCACACCCCGGCGGCCAGCGCGCUGGUCUUACCGCCCAUCAUGGCUCCCGGGACCCGGUCGGUUUGAGGCGGAUUAACGGGUAAAUGAACGGGUUCCUUCUCCGGUGGUCGGUGUUUGUGAGGGAGCUGGCGGAGCGGCUCGGGGCAGGAAGGACCCGGAAGGACCCCGGCGGUUGACAGCUUGUAGCCGUCUGUAGGAUGCCUGACUGGAAAUGUGAAGAAAAUAAAUAUAAAGAAGCUGGAAAGCGUUUGAAGAAAUUAAAUAACACCGCUUAAUUUAUUAAAAACAACAAUAAUAAGUAGUAGAAAUAUAUGACCCUGAAUAACACAUUUUCCUUUAUUUCCUAAAAUAGAGACUGCUGUGUUCCUGCUGCCUGGAGUUAUUUUCAUUCAAGUGUUCUGCAUGUUGUUAAUGUGUAUUAAAACUAUUUAUAUUAGGUGUCCAUCCAUUCAAGAAAAGGUAUUCUGUAUGGCAAAACCUUUGGUGAUUAAUGGUUAAAUAAUUAUUAAAAACAGGCUUUUUUCUCACCUUUACUCAAAACACAAUGAAACUUCAGGAGCUGAAAGUAAACAUUAAUGGAAGCUUUAAAA